This 618-nucleotide long non-coding RNA is filed under the name Taeniopygia guttata (zebra finch). RNAcentral's name for it is "lncRNA (ENSTGUG00000022816.1)". Lineage: Eukaryota; Metazoa; Chordata; Aves; Passeriformes; Estrildidae. The record is from RNAcentral.
CCCACAUCAAGAAGUCAGCAAGACUCCAAAGAAGGGUCCAUCUUGCUUCCUGAAAACUGCUGGACAGGAUUUGUAGUGCAUCUAUGUGCCUGCAGGACUAAGCAAGCACAGACAGCUCUGAGCUGGCUUUGCACUAAACCAGUCUGGUCCUGCAUCUGGGCAGAGUCUGGGCGAGCAUCUGGAGGUGAGGAGGAGGCAGUGAUCUGUGGGAAUGGUCCAGGAGCCAGAUGCUCUCUGGUGCCACGGAAGCCCCGGGUGAGUUUUUCUGAGGAAACAGCAGCUGUCCUGAUGCCACACCACACAGACAAUGGGCUGGCUCCCCAGUGCUUGCAUCUUUCUUCAUCUGUAUCUGAAUAAAUGAGGAAGGCACCAGCAAAUUCAUGUGUCAGGAAGCUGGUCACAGAUGCUACUUCAUGCUAACGAGCCCGGCGAGCCAGGCACUUCCUGGCAGUAUCAGGGGAAAACAGAUUUUGCCAGAAAUAGCUGAGUAGCUCUUGCAAGGGCUUCUCUGCCCAAGCAAACUGGGGAGAUGGUACCGAGCCAGGAGAAGGCUGCUCCCCUGCUUUCAGCACCUCUCCCCUCCCUCUCGUGGCUCCAUACGCAGUACGGAGGCACCGG